UGCGAGUCGAGAGUCUUAGGGACUCGACGUACUGCUCAGUAAUAUGUAGUUAACCUGCCCUAAAGUUGGGGAUAAUCCCGGGAAACUGGAGUUAAUACCCAAUAGGUGUUUCGGCCUGGAAUGGUGAAACACUCAAAGUUCCGAUGCUUUAGGAUGGAACUACAACUCAUCAGCCUGUUGGGGGUGUAAAGGACCCCCAAAGCUAUAACGGGUACGGGCCAUGGAAGUGUUAGCCCGGAGAUGGACUCUGAGACAUGAAUCCAGGUCCUACGGGACGCAGCAAGCGCGAAACCUUCGCAAUGCAUUAACGUGUGACGAGGGGAUCUGGAGUGCCAUAGCAUUGCUAUGGCUUUUGUUCACUUUAAAUAGGUGGGCGAAUAAGGGGUGGGUAAGACGAGUGCCAGCCGCCGCGGUAAUACUCGCGCCCCAAGUGGUAUCCAUGAUUAGUGGGUCUAAAGCGUCCGUAGCCGGUUUAAAAAGUCUUCUGUGAAAUCCCAUGGUAAACUAUGGGGCCUGCAGGGGAUACUCUUAAACUUGGGACCGGGAGAGGGCAGAGGUACUCAUGGGGGAGGGGUUAAAUCCUGUAAUCCUAUGGGGACCACCUGUGGCGAAGGCGUCUGCCUGGAACGGGUUCGACGGUGAGGGACGAAACCUAGGGGAGCAAACGGGAUUAGAUACCCCGGUAGUCCUAGGCGUAAACGAUGCCCGCUUGGUGUUACAAGCCUUUAGUGGGCUUGUAGUGCCGGAGUGUAGAUG
RNAcentral lists this ribosomal RNA (756 nucleotides) under uncultured archaeon. RNAcentral's name for it is "bacterial SSU rRNA". It matches the Rfam family "Archaeal small subunit ribosomal RNA", at positions 52 to 814 of the family's 1478-position model. The record is from RNAcentral.